This is a long non-coding RNA of Mercenaria mercenaria, 882 nucleotides long. RefSeq lists it as uncharacterized. Lineage: Eukaryota; Metazoa; Mollusca; Bivalvia; Venerida; Veneridae. The record is from RefSeq and is a predicted model, not a curated record. The transcript has 2 exons.
ACAACAGCAUUUGUUUGAAAAAAGAAUAAAAAAACAACAGCAUUAUAUUUAAAGAUGAUUCAAUAUGACAAACAACAGAAAACAACAGCUUUAGUUUAGAAAAGAACAGAAAACAACAACAUUAGUUUCAAAUAAGAUACAAUCUGAAAAACAACAUCUGUUUAAGAAAAAGAACGGUAAACAACAGUAUUAGUCUUAAAGAUGGUACAAUAGGAGAAACAACAAAAAACAACAGCAUUAAUUUUAAAGAUGAUAAAUCUGAAAAACAACAGACAACAACAGCAUUUGUUUAAAAAAGAACAGAAAACAACAGCAUUAGUUUUCAAUAUGAUACAAUCUGAAAAACAACAGAAAACAACAGCAUUAGUUUUAAAGAUGAUACAAUCAGAAAAACAACAGAAAACAUCAGCAUUUGUUUAGAAAGAAAAUUAAAACAACAGCAUUAGAUUUAAAGAUGACACGAUAAGGAAAACAAGAGAAAAUGAAGUCCCAUUAAUAUGAAACUAAGUGUCAUUUACUACCAUAUUACUUUUCAACAGUACAAUGUUUUAAGUUAUGAAACAAAAAAGUAGCAUGCAUUCUGCCAAAUGAUCACUAAUACCCUAAAAAGCUAAGCUACAACAUAUAUAAUAUAUAAAAACUAAGAUAAGCACUUGCAAACAGCAUGUUAUGAUAUAUCAAUACACUAUUACAACUAUGAAACAGACAACAACAGCAUUUAUUUAAAACAAAGAACAAGAAACAAUUGCAUUGGCUUUAAAAAUGAUACAACCUGAAAAACAACAGAAAACAACAGCUUUAGUACUAAAGAUGAUACAAUCUGAAAAAAUAACAGACAACAACAGCAUUUGUUUAAUUAAAAAAGAACAGAAAUCAACAGCA